This 484-nucleotide ribosomal RNA is filed under the name uncultured bacterium. RNAcentral's name for it is "partial 16S ribosomal RNA". It matches the Rfam family "Bacterial small subunit ribosomal RNA", at positions 28 to 523 of the family's 1533-position model. The record is from RNAcentral.
GACGAACGCUGGCGGCGUGCUUAACACAUGCAAGUCGAACGAUGAAGCUGGAGCUUGCUCCGGUGGAUUAGUGGCGAACGGGUGAGUAACACGUGAGCAAUCUGCCCUUGACUCUGGGAUAACUGCGGGAAACUGUAGCUAAUACCGGAUACUUUCACUGGAAGGCAUCUUCUGGUGAAGAAAGAAUUUCGGUCAAGGAUGAGCUCGCGGCCGAUCAGCUUGUUGGUGAGGUGACGGCUCACCAAGGCGACGACGGGUAGCCGGCCUGAGCGGGUGACCGGCCACACUGGGACUGAGAGACGGCCCGGAAUCCUACGGGAGGCGGCAGUGGGGAAGAUUGCACAAGGGGCGCAAGCCUGAUGCAGCAACGCCGCGUGAGGGAUGAAGGCCUUCGGGUUGUAAACCUCUUUUAGCAGGGAAGAAGCGAAAGUGACGGUACCUGCAGAAAAAGCACCGGCUAACUACGUGCCAGCCGCCGCAGUAA